Non-coding RNA from Lolium perenne, 4072 nucleotides. Lineage: Eukaryota; Viridiplantae; Streptophyta; Magnoliopsida; Poales; Poaceae. The record is from RefSeq and is a predicted model, not a curated record.
UCACCAAUCCUCGUCUCACCUUCUCCCCAAUCGCCGGCCGACUUCUCUCCUCCGCUCCAUCCCCACGUGAGGUUGCAGAGGAAACCUAGAUCAAGGCAUCCCAAUCCGCCCCCCAAUCCCCGCCCACCCUCCUCACCAAUCCUCGUCUCACCUUCUCCCCAAUCGCCGGCCGACUUCUCUCCUCCGCUCCAUCCCCACGUGAGGUUGCAGAGGGCACUACAAGUGGAGGAGGCCAGCGGCGCGCCGCCUCUCCCCCGAGAUCGAGCCGGUCGGGGGCAGGAUGAGGUACUGCAGGAGCGCACAUAGAGGAGGAGGGUGUCAGCUACACCUUGCCCUCUCCUCUUCCUCGUCCUCUCGUCUUCCUCCCUCCUUGAUGUCAACAUCCGGCCUCGCAGCUCGCAUCCGACCGCACCAAGGUCGAUCCCCUUCUCGUCUCCAUUCUCCGCCUCGAUCUAGAAAUUGGGGCGCGAAUGAGGCAGGGGCAUGCCUUGGCGGAAGGAGGAGGGGCGGCCUACGGGCGGGAUCCGGGACAGGGCCGGCCAAACCGUGGUGGGCGGCGUAUUUUGAGCGCAGGCGACGGCGACCUUGAGUGGAUGGAAGCCUCCCUCUCCUUCGUUCAUAUCCUCGGCUCUGACUCCCAUUAGGACGAGGAGGGGCAAGAGAGGAUGAGGUGAAGUUGGGGGAGGAGCUCAGAUGUGGUGGGUGAGGAUAGCUGAAGCUGGUGUUUGCGUUGGCAUGUGGUCAGGACAGUGGCGCCAUGAAUUCUUGCCAGCAGAUUCCUGACCUGCUCGUCUCCCUUGUCAUUGAACGCAAUUAUGGGCAUUUCAAAGCAACGAUGACAACAAGAUGAGGGCCCACACCACUUCCUCAGCCAUUGUUGAGCUUCGAGGGAGUACAGUGCCGUCUCCUAGCCUCACCAGUUGCAGCGGCCAAUUUGACAACUUGCUUGUGAGGAGGGUGGGAGAUGGAUGUGCAGCCAUGGAGGUUGUAGCCUGGCCCUAGUGCUCUCGACGGUGUCUGCUUUUGACAUCUUCCUUAUCAACUACAGUAGUCUGUAGCCUGCAGGCAGCCUCAGGUGGGAGAAGGAACAACAUCACGUCGAGAAGGAGGGGCGUCACACAAUGUGUUGUGGCCCAAGGAUAAAUGUGACCAAAUUGUUUCUGGUAGGACAUGUUCAAACUCAUGAUAAAAGCGACCAAAUUGUCAAAGAUGGUGAUGUUCGCUUUGUUUUUAGGAGCACAUAACUGGUUUGUACGUCUUCUGAUCAAAAGCAAGUGGCUUCUUCUGGUUUCCAACGUCUUUCCUUUCCUGGGUUUGCAUGUUCGAAUGAUGGGUUAGUUCAUGGCAGGGUUUGUAUGUUGCCUGAUAAAAUUCAAGCGGUUUCUUCUGGUUUCUGUGAAUUAAUUACUUAUGCGGCAUUGCUAAUCUGGCUACCUGGGAAUUAAUUAUCAACAAAGGAGGGGACUUCACUAAGAGCGUGAUAUGCAUAGGAGAGCUCUAUGUUGCAAAUGUUAGCAAAUUCCAGAAUAUAUGUAGUUUCUCUGGAGCUACAUUCUAUGAGCCAAUAGAAGUUCCUGAUGGUUUCCACAGCCUUGGGCACUACACCCAACAGAAUGACCAGCCUUUACAGGGUUUUUUUUUGUUGCAAGGGAAGCGGCUAGCUGUCAGUUGAUCAAUAGCAAGCCUGCUCUUGUGAAACCAUUGGAUUACACCCUCGUUUGGACUAAUGUUGACUUGUAUGAAAAUAAGAAUAGUGAAUGUGGGUGCAUUUGGUCGGCAUCACCACCGGAGGGUUUAUGAAGCCCUUGCCUAUGUGGUCACUAGAGGACUAAAUAAGCCAUGACUGGAAAUUGUUCAUGUCCUGAAUAUGAAAAGUUCAUACCAAGUUUGGAACACAAGGCCUUCUCAGUUUGGUAUUACAGGACGAGGUAUAACUGUUGGUACAUUCUUCUGUCAAACUAAUUCGGAUAUUAGUGAGGAAUUAGGCAUUCCCUGCUUGAAGAACUUUGACCUGAAUCUGAGAGCCAUGUCUAAUCUAGACCAGAUUCAUACACUAAUCAAACACUAUGGCCCGACUCAAACUUUUCAUAUCCUUUUUCAGCGACUCGACAGAUGGUGAGCUAUGACUUGUAAUGUUUGGGUUUGGGUGGCAGGAAAUUCUUACGCUGGCUGGGACAACAACAAACGUUGGUGCACGGAGAUUUAUGGCUAUGUUGAUGCUAUCAUGGUUAAUAUUGGUUAGUAUUGGGUUAGCAAGCACCAGUUAUGUUGCACGAGAGAAGAGGCCUAUCUGAAUUAUGUGGGGAUGCUCCUAUGCUUGCCAGGGGUGAAAAGAAUGAUGUGUUUCUGCCUCAUUUUGUCAGCACGACCUCUACGUACGAGACAAGAUCUCCGAGUUUCUUCUUGGGUGCCCUUUUCCACAAUGUUGGAGGGAGAAUGCAUUUUGUUUAUAUUUCAGGAGCGUUGGCAGGGUUGCUCACCAAUGAUCUGGAAGUGUUUUGUUCUCAGUACUUGCAUGAUAGAGAAAGGAACUGGUUAUUCCUAAUUCCUAAAUGUGCAAUUGUAGAUCCAAGGUCCCUGAGUUGGUUAGUGUUUACAGUAUUUUGCUCAUGCGUGGCCCAUCAUAGGAAUCAGCGAGCGGUGGCUCAAGCGAUACGGGGCUGGGCGAGCGUCGGACGGUGCAGCAGACUGGACAUGCGGUAGGAAUGGUGGUCAAGACCACGGGUGCAGCUUGGGGAGUGGACCAUCUAUGAAGCUCGAUGGGCCUGCUGCAUCUCUGCCUUUCAGAAGUGGCCACCGCCAUUGACCCUCCUCUAACGCAGGAGGGUCCUCCUCAAAUCAUGGGGGAGGGCGGCCGGAGAGUGCAAGCGGAGGUGGGAGGCGCUUGUGGUGUAGUACAAGGUGGGUGCAGCGUUGGGAUGUAUGGUUCGGGGUAUCAACGGAGCACCACUCUGCAAGUGUUCUGUAUCUGCGAGCCUGCGAUGUCUGUCAUUCUACCUCUGUUUCAGAUGGGUCAGUGAUAGCAACCAGCAGCCCAUGGUUAGUUGCAUAGGAAAAGGUAAUGACAAGCACAACACAUCUACUUUGCAGCUUGUUUGUGCCGAGUAUCGCUUCAGCUAGGAUUUAGUGUUAGUGGAUUCCAUGGUGGGCUGCAGCCUACAGGAAGUUAGAUGUGUUGGCUACUGUAAGCGUUACUUGUGCCAUCACCACCAGUACAAUUGACAUGGUGGCUGCAGAAUCAAGGGCCAUAAGGGAGCCUCAUGUUGUUCAAAAGACAACCAAGGUUGGCAUCUUUUUAAUUCUUAUCGUUGGUGCAAGUAAGGUCAGAAGGAUGCUAAGGGAAAUACAAAUCCAAGGCAAGCAUGUGGAAAGCGCGUCAUAUGAUGUGAAAUCUGUUAUCAUGAAAAAGAGGGAAGGGCACAACCAUGAAGUUCGAGCAGCCAGAAAUAGCGGGCAUGUGAGCGAUGGUUCUGGGAGUGCUCUCAGAGGCCAACUGGAGUCAUUCAACUUCCUCUUCAGGAUUGACAGAGCCAGGACUACGAUCUGCCUUCACCCACCUGCAAAUGCAGCAUGGUCAGCUAACCAAUUGAUGAUUUGCGAUAUUACGAGUUAGGCCCAGUUUAUCACUUUCUUCCAGUUUGUUGCCAACGAUCUGGCAGUGUCAUAAGGGAGUACACUGUUUGUUGCCAACGAUCUGGCAGUGCCAUAAGGGAGUACAUGUGUUUCAUCUGAAAAUAUAAGAUAUAACUUUAUAUGAACCGUAGAGAGUAAACUAUUCAGUGUGUAAACACAAAUUAUUCUUUAGUACCAAUCAUAGAUAAUUCCAUGGAUAAAGCUUAUGGUAUAAUAUUUUCUUGCUUGUGUCUUUGUGCCGGGGCCUUGUCAUGUGCUGCUUCUCCUUGGGUUGUUUGCUAAGCUGUUAAGAUAAUGUGAUGCCCUACCUAUCUGCCUUCACGCUGCCACCUGGUUUAUCUUCUCGGUUGUGGAAUCAAUCUCAUGUGGUAACUACGGACCUUAUCAGAUAGGGGAGGGUUCCUGAAAAGCCACCUGCUGACAACAUUUUGUUUAUUUC